UACGUAGGUGGCGAGCGUUGUCCGGAUUUACUGGGCGUAAAGAGCGCGCAGGCGGUCGUACAAGUCGCGUGUGAAAGCCCCUGGCUCAACUGGGGAGGGUCACGCGAUACUGAUCGACUCGAAGGCAGGAGAGGGUAGUGGAAUUCCCGGUGUAGUGGUGAAAUGCGUAGAUAUCGGGAGGAACACCAGUGGCGAAGGCGACUACCUGGCCUGUUCUUGACGCUGAGGCGCGAAGGCUAGGGGAGCAAACGGG
RNAcentral lists this ribosomal RNA (253 nucleotides) under uncultured bacterium. RNAcentral describes it as "partial 16S ribosomal RNA". It matches the Rfam family "Bacterial small subunit ribosomal RNA", at positions 524 to 776 of the family's 1533-position model. The record is from RNAcentral.